RNAcentral lists this ribosomal RNA (964 nucleotides) under Candidatus Bathyarchaeota archaeon. RNAcentral describes it as "bacterial SSU rRNA". It matches the Rfam family "Archaeal small subunit ribosomal RNA", at positions 1 to 941 of the family's 1478-position model. The record is from RNAcentral. Lineage: Archaea; Thermoproteati; Candidatus Bathyarchaeota.
AAUCCGGUUGAUCCUGCCGGACCCUACUGCUAUCGGGGUAGGACUAAAACAUGCGAGUCAAACGUCUCUAAGCCAUGGAGGAGACGUGGCAAACGGCUCAGUAACACGUGGCUAACCUAACCUUGAGACAGGAACAACCCCGGGAAACUGGGGACAAUUCCAGAUAGGCGAGGAAGCCUGGAAUGACUCCUCACCCAAAAGAUAUCCGAACCAUGCUUUAGAUGUCGCUCAAGGAUGGAGCCGCGGCCGAUCAGGUAGUUGGUAGGACAAAGGCCUACCAAGCCUAUAACCGGUACGGGCCGUGAGAGCGGGAGCCCGGAGAUGGGAACUGAGACAAGGUCCCAGGCCCUACGGGGCGCAGCAGUUGCGAAAACUCGCCAAUGCACGAAAGUGUGAGCGGGCUACCCCGAGUGCCGUCCGCUGAGGAUGGCUUUUCUCCAGUGUAAGGAGCUGGAGGAAUAAGGAGAGGGCAAGACUGGUGUCAGCCGCCGCGGUAAUACCAGCUCUCCGAGUGGUAGGGAUGAUUAUUGGGCUUAAAGCGUCCGUAGCCGGCCUAACAAGUCUCUCGUUAAAUCCAACGAUCCAAUCGUUGGACUGCGGGAGAUACUGUCAGGCUAGGAGACGGGAGAGGCCGACGGUACUCUUGGGGUAGGGGUGAAAUCCUGUAAUCCCAGGAAGACCACCAGUGGCGAAGGCUGUCGGCUGGCACGUGCUCGACGGUGAGGGACGAAAGCUUGGGGAGCGAACCGGAUUAGAUACCCGGGUAGUCCAAGCUGUAAACGAUGCGGGCUAGGUGUUGGGGUGGCUACGGGCCACUUCAGUGCCGCAGUGAAAGCGUUAAGCCCGCCGCCUGGGGAGUACGGCCGCAAGGCUGAAACUUAAAGGAAUUGGCGGGGGAGCACCACAAGGGGUGAAGCUUGCGGUUUAAUUGGAGUCAACGCCGGGAACCUUACCGGGGGCGACA